GACGAACGCUGGCGGCGUGCUUAACACAUGCAAGUCGAGCGGUAAGGCCCUUUCGGGGGUACACGAGCGGCGAACGGGUGAGUAACACGUGGGUGACCUGCCUUUAGCUCUGGGAUAAGCCUGGGAAACUGGGUCUAAUACUGGAUAUGACUCCACGGUGCAUGUCGUGGGGUGGAAAGCCUUGUGCGGCUGAGGAUGGGCCCGCGGCCUAUCAGCUUGUUGGUGGGGUGANGGCCUACCAAGGCGACGACGGGUAGCCGGCCUGAGAGGGCGACCGGCCACACUGGGACUGAGACACGGCCCAGACUCCUACGGGAGGCAGCAGUGGGGAAUCUUGCGCAAUGGGCGAAAGCCUGACGCAGCGACGCCGCGUGAGGGAUGACGGCCU
This 388-nucleotide ribosomal RNA is filed under the name uncultured bacterium. RNAcentral's name for it is "bacterial SSU rRNA". It matches the Rfam family "Bacterial small subunit ribosomal RNA", at positions 28 to 417 of the family's 1533-position model. The record is from RNAcentral.